UGCAACCUGAGCUCAGUCGUGAUUACCCGCUGAACUUAAGCAUAUCACUUAGCGGAGGAAAAGAAACUAA
RNAcentral lists this ribosomal RNA (70 nucleotides) under Chabertia ovina (large-mouth bowel worm). RNAcentral describes it as "partial 28S ribosomal RNA". It matches the Rfam family "Eukaryotic large subunit ribosomal RNA", at positions 1 to 68 of the family's 3401-position model. The record is from RNAcentral. RNAcentral also lists the same sequence under 3 other names. Lineage: Eukaryota; Metazoa; Nematoda; Chromadorea; Rhabditida; Strongylidae.